This 254-nucleotide ribosomal RNA is filed under the name uncultured bacterium. RNAcentral's name for it is "partial 16S ribosomal RNA". It matches the Rfam family "Bacterial small subunit ribosomal RNA", at positions 524 to 776 of the family's 1533-position model. The record is from RNAcentral.
UACGUAGGGUGCGAGCGUUAAUCGGAAUUACUGGGCGUAAAGCGUGCGCAGGCGGUCUGUUAAGACCGAUGUGAAAUCCCCGGGCUUAACCUGGGAACUGCAUUGGUGACUGGCAGGCUUUGAGUGUGGCAGAGGGAGGUAGAAUUCCACGUGUAGCAGUGAAAUGCGUAGAGAUGUGGAGGAAUACCGAUGGCGAAGGCAGCCCCCUGGGCCAACACUGACGCUCAUGCACGAAAGCGUGGGGAGCAAACAGG